UAUUAAGGACCGUCAACAAGCUCCCCCAAGCUUAACCUUUGCUCGUCCCUGAGCAAAGAUGAACUCAAGAGUUUCUGCAGUGGUUUCAUAACUUAAAGAUACACAUGCGUUUAAACAAGAUCUCAUCUCUGGUUAGAGUAAACUGUUAAGACUUAAAACUUACUCAUUUACCUUUCACCAUAGGACUUGUAACAGUCACUUUUGUCUUGAGUAGUUAAAAGAUAGAACGGUCUAGUCAAGCACCAUGUCUCUUGUUGUUCGAUUAACUAUAGCUCUAGAGUUUUUGUAGAUUUUCAAAUAAAACUCAGAGAUUCCUUGUAUGACUCUCUCUAGUCUCUCUUUUGUGGUAUUUCUGGAUCCUUACCAAGGCAUUAAUGGUGUAUGCCUUCUCUCAAAGUAUGUGGUAUUUCUGGUAUAAGGCAUAGUGGCAUUGCCUUCUCUCUCACCCUACUCUAAUAAGGCUUUUGAUAUCUGGAGCUCAUAGGUGGGAGACAGCUAAUACAUACUUACAAGACAUUUGUUGCAUAGUCAAACCAUGGAUCCAGAAGAACAAGUCAAUAAGUCAAAUCAAGAUGUGCAUGUGUGGCGAAUGAAUGGUGUAUGGUGAUGAUGGUGAUAAUGGUGAAAGUCUAAUUCUACUUAUGCUCUUUUGAGGGGGUACAUACCUUUCUUGCUCUUUUGAAACUUUUUGAGGAGAAUGAGAUGCUCUAUAUUUUCUUUUUAUUUUCUCUCAGGUGGGUAUCUUAUACCCCUAAUUCUAUUGUCGGACACUUGUCCAUUUUUACCUCUCGUCUCACUUUUUUUUUCUUUUCUUUCGAGGUUCCGGGCACUUGCCCCUUUUUAUUUCCUCGUAUUUAUUUUUUUUCUCUCUUUUUUUAUAUUAGAGCACUCAUCUCCUGAAAUAAUAUAGCAAGUGGUAGUAACGAAGAUAACUUGAGCAUUUAUUUCACAGGGGAAAAACAGAAAUUUUUUUGGCUAUUCUCUCCCAGAUUAGGAGUAGAAUAUUUUUAGGUGGCUCUGGAGAUGGAAAUGAGUGGAUGUGUGUGGAUGCGUACUUCCAGAGUAGAAGCAGCAUGUAUGAGUGAACGUGCAAGUGAAUCUUGACUUAACCACAUGACAAGCUCCUAAGGGUCUACACAGCUUGACCACACUCAAUGCUCAUAAGCAGUAAAAAGUAAAUGUGUGGCUCAAAGUCUAGCAAGCAUGUAUAUAUGGCUGUGGUAGGAAUUUAAACUCUCAUCAUACAGGAACUCAUCAUGUAAUAUUUUAAAGAUUUUCAAAGAUAAAAUUCUCUAGAAUUCUAGCAUCUCUAGGAACAGAUAAACAGCAGCUCAACCUUCCCAUAUCAUAUCCGUUAACGACUUAGACUUUAGAUCAAGUACUCUUCCCACAAGUUCAGGUUUAGAGCCAAUCUUAAUUAAUAACAGUGAUGCCUAAACUUGAGAGAGAUUUCAAUUUUGAGAACUAGUCAUGGCAGAGCAACUAUUCAUCUUUCCAUGUGAGAGCUUAUCAUGAGGGUUCAUAGCAAAUUUUAUUUAUUUAUUUAUUUAGCAAACUAAGCAAAGAUAUAUAUAUAAGCACAAAAUCUUUAUUUGGGUUUUUAUGAUUAUGCAUCUUUUUUAUUAUUUAAGUAAAGUAUAAACAUGAGUAGAGCACUUAGCUGGAUAAAUGGGGUUGCUCUCCCCCAAGCUGGGUUUUGACGUAAUUCCUUCUGAUGUAGCUAGCAGGUGGCGGAGGUGUAUUUGAAUGUGGCAGCACCCUGACAGCGAUUAGGAUGUCCUCCGUCUGCUAGUCUUCUUUGAUCCUUGAAUUCUGUGGAGCUCAAAUACACAACAAAGCUUUGUGGAACUAGUUAAGUGUUAGCAUAAAUAUCUAGCCUUUAUCAUGUUGAGCCUCCUCAAUAAAUAUUACUUUCUUUGGUAGGAUCAUAAAUUUAUUUUUAUAUUUUCAUUUUUAUAGGACAGGAAUAUAUUUAUUUUAUUUUUUUAUGCCACCACAGUGAAUGUACUUAUGGGUUUUAUGCUAUGAGCAUACUCACAUGGGGCUUACUAUUUUUAACAUUUUUAUUUUCUUUUCAAGAUGAUAUGAACCUGAUUAACUAAGCAAACUAUUUUAAAUAAUUGAAAGGAAAAAGAUAACUACCAAGUUUACCUCUUGGCAAGGCGUUCGGUGUCUUUAAGUCCUCCGAACAGGAUUCUCCGUUUUCUCAAUCAUCCUGGAAUUCGCUGGAUGGCGUAGUCGGUGGUUCCGGCGGCGCGUACUCUUCAUAUAUAACUAUCUUCUUUCUCCACACCUGCCUUGGUGCACUUCUCCUUCGUACUCUGCCCAUUCGUCCUUUAUGAUUUUCCUCCUCUGGUUACGAUUGCGUCGUCUUCUUCUUGUCCUGACGUGCUUAGAGUCUUCAACUAUAUAGUUAGGGUCAGUAAAAUAGCGGCGUACCUUCUCAGAGGGAAAAUGCAUGUGGACUUCUCCAGUUCUAAUGUAGAUGAUUGCUUUAACGGUGCUUAGGAACGGUCUUCCAAUGGUGAUGGGUGGAUUGUACUCGUCUUCUCCCAAGUCAAUAACCUUAAAAUCAUCUAGAGCUGAAUGUAUGUUGGUUGUAGGGGCAUGGUUCCAUGCAGGAGCUGAUAGGUGGCUGCGGCCAUUAUGUUGACGCCUGAUCCGGUGUCGCAAAGCGUCUUGUGCAAGUUGUAUCCAUUAAUGGAGCACUGGAUGCUUGGCAUACUUAGGUCAUCCUUUUUGGUCAGGAACGGUGACUUAAGUUGACGAUCUUGACCUUCUUGAACUGCAGUGACCAUCUUAGCUUACUUGGUCCACAUUUGCUUGUUCCUGUUCCUCUUGUUGGUCCUUCCUUGGUUCAUGUCAGGAUUGCUCUAAGAUUUGUGUAGUCUUUUUCUUGAAGGAAAACGUCUCUUUCUUCCCCUUGAUGUAGAAAGUGAUCUUGGCAGCACUAGCGUAGAUGACAGCUCCCAAGGUGUUCAGGAAUGGCCCCCCUAGGAUGGGUGCCCUCUCAUCAGUACCAGUCUCUAUCACCACGAAGUCUGCUGGGGCGUACAAGGUACCAACUCAGAUGAAGAGGUUGUUCAAUAUUCUCUUUGGGAAACUUAGCGUACGAUCUGCAAGCUGCAAACACAUGGUUGUUUCUAGGAAAGGAUGUGUAAAGAUUUUUUCAUAGAGUACCCUGAGCAUAAUGUUGACGCUGGAGCCAAAGUUGCAGAGUGCUUCUAGGAAGUC
This 3234-nucleotide long non-coding RNA is filed under the name Sorghum bicolor (sorghum). RNAcentral describes it as "long non-coding RNA (SBIC_LNC010944)". Lineage: Eukaryota; Viridiplantae; Streptophyta; Magnoliopsida; Poales; Poaceae. The record is from RNAcentral.